CGAAUUCGCCCUUGUGCCAGCAGCCGCGGUGAUACGUAGGUGGCAAGCGUUGUCCGGAUUUAUUGGGCGUAAAGCGAGCGCAGGCGGUUUCUUAAGUCUGAUGUGAAAGCCCCCGGCUCAACCGGGGAGGGUCAUUGGAAACUGGGAGACUUGAGUGCAGAAGAGGAGAGUGGAAUUCCAUGUGUAGCGGUGAAAUGCGUAGAUAUAUGGAGGAACACCAGUGGCGAAGGCGGCUCUCUGGUCUGUAGCUGACGCUGAGGCUCGAAAGCGUGGGGAGCAAACAGGAUUAGAUACCCUGGUAGUCCACGCCGUAAACGAUGAGUGCUAAGUGUUGGAGGGUUUCCGCCCUUCAGUGCUGCAGCUAACGCAUUAAGCACUCCGCCUGGGGAGUACGACCGCAAGGUUGAAACUCAAAGGAAUUGACGGGGGCCCGCACAAGCGGCGGAGCAUGUGGUUUAAUUCGAAGCAACGCGAAGAACCUUACCAGGUCUUGACAUCCUUUGACCACUCUAGAGAUAGAGCUUCCCCUUCGGGGGCAAAGUGACAGGUGGUGCAUGGUUGUCGUCAGCUCGUGUCGUGAGAUGUUGGGUUAAGUCCCGCAACGAGCGCAACCCUUAUUGUUAGUUGCCAUCAUUCAGUUGGGCACUCUAGCAAGACUGCCGGUGACAAACCGGAGGAAGGUGGGGAUGACGUCAAAUCAUCAUGCCCCUUAUGACCUGGGCUACACACGUGCUACAAUGGGAAGUACAACGAGUUGCGAAGUCGCGAGGCUAAGCUAAUCUCUUAAAGCUUCUCUCAGUUCGGAUUGCAGGCUGCAACUCGCCUGCAUGAAGCCGGAAUCGCUAGUAAUCGCGGAUCAGCACGCCGCGGUGAAUACGUUCCCGGGCCUUGUACACACCGCCCGUCACACCACGAGAGUUUGUAACACCCGAAGUCGGUGAGGUAACCUUUUUGGAGCCAGCCGCCUAAGGUAGGAUAGAUGAUUGGGGUGAAGUCGUAA
Molecule: ribosomal RNA, 1000 nt
Filed under: uncultured bacterium
Lineage: Bacteria
Description: bacterial SSU rRNA
Rfam family: Bacterial small subunit ribosomal RNA
Source: RNAcentral